This 90-nucleotide transfer RNA is filed under the name Verrucomicrobiota bacterium. Its description in RNAcentral is "Verrucomicrobia bacterium tRNA-Ser". It matches the Rfam family "tRNA". From Rfam's summary of the family: Transfer RNA (tRNA) molecules are approximately 80 nucleotides in length. Their secondary structure includes four short double-helical elements and three loops (D, anti-codon, and T loops). Lineage: Bacteria; Pseudomonadati; Verrucomicrobiota. The record is from RNAcentral.
GGAGGGGUGGCCGAGUGGUCGAAGGCGGCGGUCUUGAAAACCGCUGAAGGUGCAAGCCUUCCGUGGGUUCGAAUCCCACCCCCUCCGCCA